Long non-coding RNA from Notothenia coriiceps (black rockcod), 1338 nucleotides. RefSeq lists it as uncharacterized. The record is from RefSeq and is a predicted model, not a curated record. Lineage: Eukaryota; Metazoa; Chordata; Actinopteri; Perciformes; Nototheniidae. The transcript has 2 exons.
GGGAGGUAGAGAGGGGAGAGAGGGGGAGCCCUUAUCUCCCACUGAAGGAAUAAUACGGAGACAACCAGCAGCCAAAAACCAAAGAACUAGCAAAGAAAUGGCUUCUCACAACAGCAUCGAAAAGCUUUUGAUGCUGUGAGUUUUUUCAGAGCACAGGAAGGUUUGCGUGAUUUUUAGGAGGAGCGUCACGACCAAACUGAACCUCUGCAGGUCCAGCAGGAACAAAUGGACGUCACUAAAAAAAGUAAAGAAGAGCAAGUGGACGCCCUGGAAGCUGGUGUCAAGAAGGCUAUUUAGAGGAUAUAUGAAGUUUGCUUCGUCCAGUCCGGGCUACAUCCAUCCAUGGAGGUCUGACCAGACCACCAGACACAUCGGAGCUGAGGUGGCCGAGCUGCUGCCUGACUGGCCCGUCUCACUCACAGAGGAGCCCGGGGAGAGUUGUAUUACUGGUAUUGGACUAUAGAGAUGUUUAAAUGUAUUAUUGCAUUCACUGGUGAAUAUUUCAAAGAUGGGAAGUUGUUAUAGACACAUAGUACGACUCAAUGUCUAGUGCAAAUAAUUGAGUACAUUUAUAUUGUAUUAUUACUUUUGAAUUGUUGUGAAGCACGUUUUUAAGUUUAUUAUGAUGUUGUUGUUGUUAUUAAGGGCCAUUCCUCUUUAAAUCAUGUUUCCCUGAGGAGUUUUUCUUUUGCUGUUAUUAUGUAUUUAUAUAAACCAUUGAUAUAAACUCGAAAAAUUACGAGGUAAGAAAAAAGGGAAUUGAGGAGUAGUGAGAGGAAAUGCACACAUCCAAAUAUUCAACCCCUAAAAAAUGGAAAGUAAAACAUUUACAACAAAAUAGAGAGCAAGCAUAAAAACUAAAUCAAAAGUGGAAAUGAACGACAAUUCAACUAGAACACCUGUGUAUGCGCACAGUUGCUGUAUGUGAGUGUGUCUGUGGGGCUUUUGACAAAUGUCCCUUCGAUCCAUAAAUAUCUGAUUUGUCCAUGGCCUGUGGUCAUAGCAAACUUUCUCUGGCUCUCACAAAGAAAAUACUUGUUCUUCCUGUUUGGCUGAACAGGUGCUUCACUCACUUUAUAACUCUAGCAACACACAUGUGGUGAAGGAAAAUGAAAAUGUUAAGCUGCAUGGCAGCUGGGAAAUAGUUCCCUGAUCACACUCCUAUUCUUGGUAAAAAAUAUACAUUGCACAUGCAUAUAAAAUACUAUGCCAGAGAGCAAUGCUGUUGAACUAAAGUACAUGAAGUAUAAAUACUGCUAUGCUUCCUCCAGCUAAAUGUUAAUGGUUGAUGUGAAAAUAAUGUAAAGUAUGCUAAAAUAUUAAAGUCCUAAAGCCACA